This 630-nucleotide long non-coding RNA is filed under the name Mytilus galloprovincialis (Mediterranean mussel). Lineage: Eukaryota; Metazoa; Mollusca; Bivalvia; Mytilida; Mytilidae. The record is from RNAcentral.
UAUUCGCUCUUUUUUCUGUUUUCUUUUUUAACGCAUCCAUGUUCUAAUCCAAAGAAAGCAUAAGGUAAACUUGGGUGACUCCACAAACGUUAUAUUUUGAGCGAAGCUUGGAUUUAAAAUAAACUUUUUUGUAGGAGUUCUUCGGUAUGCAAAUAGAUCUUCUUUAAAGUUAUUCGAUUUGUAUGUUUGAAUUGUAAACGUUUUCACUUGUUUAAAUCAAAAUUGCUGCCUUAAGACGUGUCUGAUACGUCAUCUAUUGUUUUAAGAAUCUAAAUAGUUCUUUCGUGGUACAUGUAUAUCGAUAGAUAGAAAAAUAUUAAUAUUGUAUUCCAUGUUGACACAACCAAAGAGCAUGUAAUGAAGGAAUAUGACAACGCAGUGGAACUUGUCAACAUAUAGUCCUGUUUGAAUACAAAAGUCAUCAGUAUUCCAAGAUUCUUCUUUCACACAAGAAUGCUCCUUUAAAGUAUAACCAUAUAUCAUGCCAUUUAUAGCCAUCAUAUUUUUUCAUACCAAUGGUUUCUUCAACGCCAUGUAAAGUCAUAUCAGGCUGAGUUGGGUGCCAAUUAAAAUAAGACAUAAUUGACCCAUCUUUAUAGUACCAAUGUAACUCUGCUGUACGAUGAUAUC